Molecule: small nuclear RNA, 106 nt
Organism: Fukomys damarensis (Damara mole-rat)
Lineage: Eukaryota; Metazoa; Chordata; Mammalia; Rodentia; Bathyergidae
Source: Ensembl
GUGCUCACUUCGGCAGCGCAUACACUAAAAUUGGAACCAUACAGAGAAGAUUAGCACGGCCCCUGCACAAAAUUUAUUAAGACAUUUUGUGGCUUAGCAUAUGGUC